Molecule: ribosomal RNA, 444 nt
Filed under: uncultured Streptococcus sp.
Lineage: Bacteria; Bacillati; Bacillota; Bacilli; Lactobacillales; Streptococcaceae
Description: bacterial SSU rRNA
Rfam family: Bacterial small subunit ribosomal RNA
Source: RNAcentral
AGCAUGUGGUUUAAUUCGAAGCAACGCGAAGAACCUUACCAGGUCUUGACAUCCCGAUGCUAUUUCUAGAGAUAGAAGUUACUUCGGUACAUCGGUGACAGGUGGUGCAUGGUUGUCGUCAGCUCGUGUCGUGAGAUGUUGGGUUAAGUCCCGCAACGAGCGCAACCCCUAUUGUUAGUUGCCAUCAUUCAGUUGGGCACUCUAGCGAGACUGCCGGUAAUAAACCGGAGGAAGGUGGGGAUGACGUCAAAUCAUCAUGCCCCUUAUGACCUGGGCUACACACGUGCUACAAUGGUUGGUACAACGAGUUGCGAGUCGGUGACGGCGAGCUAAUCUCUUAAAGCCAAUCUCAGUUCGGAUUGUAGGCUGCAACUCGCCUACAUGAAGUCGGAAUCGCUAGUAAUCGCGGAUCAGCACGCCGCGGUGAAUACGUUCCCGGGCCUU